Molecule: ribosomal RNA, 2331 nt
Filed under: Colobanthus quitensis
Lineage: Eukaryota; Viridiplantae; Streptophyta; Magnoliopsida; Caryophyllales; Caryophyllaceae
Description: eukaryotic LSU rRNA
Rfam family: Eukaryotic large subunit ribosomal RNA
Source: RNAcentral
ACCUUUCGAGUAGCGUAGUUUGAGAUUGCUACGCCAACGUGGGACGUAAACUUGUUCCAAAGCUAAAUAUUAUAACGAGACCGAUAGCGAACAAGUACCGUGAGGGAAAGUUGAAAAGCACUCUGAAGAGAGAGUUAAAUAGUACGUAAAACCGUACAGAAGAAAACGAAUGGCCGCAUUCAUCAGAUUACUUUGAAUUCAAUUCGAUCUCUAUAUGAUGGUGAGACUUGUCAAGUUGGAACUUCAACAGUCCCUUGGUUCGUUCUUGCCUAGAGUCGGAUGCAUUUCCAAAGUAUUAACUGAACCUGGAUCUAUAACAUGACAGCUAGUCGAAUCAGCCGAUCUUGGUAGCGAGUUUACUCGUGUUAAAGAUACGGCUUGCAUAGACAACAAAUUCGACUUGGCGUUAUAGGUGAACAGACAUGUUUUUGAUUUCAGUACUCUCGAGUACGGCAUGCCAUGAGCAUUGUUUGUGCCACAUGAGUGACUAAGGCGUCAAAACUUUAGUUUCAUCCAUUGUCGGUGCCUAAUGUUUUGUGGCUGUCAAUGAAAUCGGCAAGUCAACAGGAGUUUUGAAUGCCGAGUUAUUCGACCCGUCUUGUAACACGGUCUAAGGAGUUCACUGCAUGUGCAAGAGUUCGGCUGUAUGAAAAGCCUUGCUCGUAAUGAAAGUAAAGAACAUUCUUGCAAUGUUUUAAGUGUGAUUUCUGUCAUCUGGUGCAAAUCAUGACAAUGAACGCAACACUGACAGGUUCUAUUGCCGUUGGCAAAGAGCUUAGUAAGAGUAUAUGCAAUGAGACCCGAAAGAUGGUGAACUUAAUGUGUGUAGAAUGAAGCCAGGGGAAACCCUGGUGGAAGUUCGUAGCGGUUCUGACGUGCAAAUCGAUCGUCAAACAUGCAUUAAGGGGCGAAAGACUAAUCGAACCAUCUAGUAGCUGGUUCCGUCCGAAGUUUCCCUCAGGAUAGCUGGCAUUCAAGUUUUCACAGUUAUAUCCGGUAAAGCGAAUGUUUAGAGGCAUUGGGCGUAAAAUACGCUCAACCUAUUGACAAACUUUAAAUGGGUAUGAAGUUCAUUUUUCUACUUCAUUGAGAAUGAACAGCGAAUGUGAGUGCCAAGUGGGCCAUUUUUGGUAAGCAGAACUGGCGCUGUUGGAUGCACAAAACGUCAAGAUAAAGAGCCAGAUGGUCUCGCUCAUCAGAUACCAUAAAAGGUGUUGGUCGAUAUAGACAGCAGGACGGUGGCCAUGGAAGUCGGAAUCCGUUAAGGAGUGUGUAACAACUCACCUGCCGAAUCGACUAGUCCUAAAAAUGGAUGGCGCUCGAGCGAGCCUCUUAUACUUGACUGUUACGAUACAACAAGCCAUAUAACGGACAUCAUGUCGUAACAAGUAGGACGGUUGAUAUGGUUGCGUCGAAGGCUAACACGUGAGUGUGGCUUGAGCAGUCAUAUGUACAGAUCUUAGUGGUAGUAGCAACUAUUCAAAUGAGAACUUUGAAGACUGACGUGGAGAAAGGUUCCAUGUGAACAGCUAUUGGACAUGGGUCAGUCAGUCCUAAGAUGCGCUCGAAAGAGGGUUCCGAACGAGGAAUAUUUAUAUUCAUCUAUUUAUAUUCCAUCAAAUCGAAAGGGAAACAAGUUAAUAUUCUUGUACUAAGUGUCGGAGAUUGUUUGAUUUCUUGUCAAACAUAUGUGGUAACACAAACAAGCUCAAAUACAUCACAAGUGGUCCUGGAAAGAGUUUUCUCUUCUUUGUUACUUCAUCAGACGACCCUGGAAUCAGUUCAACUGGAGAUAGGGUUCAAAUGAAGGUAAAGAGUAGCCGUUCUUGCUACUUCCUCGGUGCAUCAUUUGUGAUCCUUGAAAAUUUGAGCGAGAUAUUCAAUUUCGCACUUAUCUGUACUCUAAACCGCAUCAGGUCUCCAAGGUGAAAAGCCUCUAGUCAAUUAGAACAAGGUAGCACAAGGGAAGUCGGCAAAAUCGAUCGGCAACUUCGGGAUAACGAUUGGCUCUAAGUGCUAGGGUGUUCGGGCUUGAUGAUAAAGCAGUAGANNNNNNNNNNNNNUCGUAUUACUUCGGACAUCGUUUAAUAGCAAACUUAGAACUCGCUGCGUCUAGGGGAAUCCGACUGUCUAAUUAAAACAGAGCUUUGCGAUUGGCCGGAAAACUUGGUGUUGACGCAAAGUGAUUUCUGCCCAGUGCUCUGAAUGUUAACGUGAAGAAAUUCAAAUAAGCGCGGGUAAACGGCGGGAGUAACUAUGACUCUCUUCUGGUAGCCAAAUGCCUCGUCAUCUAAUUAGUGACGCGCAUGAAUGGAUUAACGAGAUUCCCAC